ACGGGAGGCAGCAGUGAGGAAUAUUGGUCAAUGGGCGAGAGCCUGAACCAGCCAAGUAGCGUGAAGGAUGACUGCCCUACGGGUUGUAAACUUCUUUUAUACGGGAAUAAAAAAGGCCACGCGUGGCCUCUUGCAUGUACCGUAUGAAUAAGCAUCGGCUAAUUCCGUGCCAGCAGCCGCGGUAAUACGGAAGAUGCGAGCGUUAUCCGGAUUUAUUGGGUUUAAAGGGUGCGUAGGCGGGACGUUAAGUCAGUGGUAAAAGCGUGUGGCUCAACCAUACCAAGCCAUUGAAACUGUCGUUCUUGAGUGUAAACGAGGUAGGCGGAAUGUGACGUGUAGCGGUGAAAUGCUUAGAUAUGUCACAGAACCCCGAUUGCGAAGGCAGCUUACCAGCAUACAACUGACGCUGAGGCACGAAAGCGUGGGUAUCAAACAGGAUUAGAUACCCUGGUA
Molecule: ribosomal RNA, 453 nt
Filed under: uncultured Porphyromonadaceae bacterium
Lineage: Bacteria; Pseudomonadati; Bacteroidota; Bacteroidia; Bacteroidales; Porphyromonadaceae
Description: partial 16S ribosomal RNA
Rfam family: Bacterial small subunit ribosomal RNA
Source: RNAcentral